CUUUAAAUCUGGCAGCAUCGCUGUCCGAGUUGUAGUCUCGAGAAGUGUUUUCCGCGCUGGAACGUGUACGAGUCUGUUGGAAUGCAGCGUCAUAGAGGGUGAGAACCCCGUUCACGACAUGUCUACCAGAGCUUUGUGAUACACUUUCGAUGAGUCGAGUUGUUUGGGAAUGCAGCUCAAAAUGGGUGGUAAAUUCCAUCUAAAGCUAAAUAUUGGCGAGAGACCGAUAGCAAACAAGUACCGUGAGGGAAAGAUGAAAAGCACUUUGGAAAGAGAGUUAAAAGUACGUGAAAUUGCUGAAAGGGAAACGCUUGAAGUCAGACGUGCGCGGUAUCUAUACCACUGCAGGCCAGCAUCGGUUUUGCGAGCCGGAUAAAGGUUAGAGAAAGGUGGCAGUUUCGGCUGUGUUAUAGCCUCUUACUGAAUACGGAAUGCAAGACCGAGGGACGCAGCGCGCCGCAAGGCAAAGGAUUCGUCCUUUUCGCGCUUAGGAUGUUGGUGAAAUGGCUUUAAACGACCCGUCUUGAAACACGGACCAAGGAGUCUAACAUGCUUGCGAGUGUUUGGGUGGUUAAACCCAUCCGCGUAAUGAAAGUGAACGGAGGUGGGAUCCUUUACCGGAGCACCAUCGACCGAUCCAGAUUUUUAAUGAAGGAUUUGAGUAAGAGCACGUAUGUUGGGACCCGAAAGAUGGUGAACUAUGCCUGAAUAGGGUGAAGCCAGAGGAAACUCUGGUGGAGGCUCGUAGCGGUUCUGACGU
Molecule: ribosomal RNA, 760 nt
Filed under: Cyphobasidium usneicola
Lineage: Eukaryota; Fungi; Basidiomycota; Cystobasidiomycetes; Cyphobasidiales; Cyphobasidiaceae
Description: partial large subunit ribosomal RNA
Rfam family: Eukaryotic large subunit ribosomal RNA
Source: RNAcentral